CACUUUCUUUGAGUCUGGGUAUUUUCACCGAUCAGAGAUCCCUAGUGAGGUAUGUUGAGACUAUAUCAGUUCUAGUGGAACAUCGUUGAGCCCCUAGUGGUUCCAUUCGCGGAGUACUUCUGAGAUAGACUAGUGGAUUAUUACUGAGUUGGAGGCAGUUUUCAGUGCAGUGUAUAGAUCAGGCAUACUGGGGCAUAUUUCCCCAUUUUGAGGUUACCAGAUUCCUAUCAGAUUCAGUCAGGGAUUCAUCAGAGAC
This 256-nucleotide long non-coding RNA is filed under the name Vitis vinifera (wine grape). RNAcentral describes it as "long non-coding RNA (VVIN_LNC004577)". The record is from RNAcentral. Lineage: Eukaryota; Viridiplantae; Streptophyta; Magnoliopsida; Vitales; Vitaceae.